AAGUCGUAACAAGGUUUCCGUAGGUGAACCUGCGGAAGGAUCAUUAUCCUAUCGCAAAGUGUUGCAAAACACUUUAAUUUAAAAACAUACAGCUUUAAUCUAAUUAAAGUUGUAUCAAAUCCAUAUUUGCUUUAAUAUGGUCAGGUACCUAGCUAUGCUUAUGCAUCGUAAGCGACAUUGCUUUUUGUCGUGAGGUUUAAAGAUUAUUCAACUUAGUGAAUAACGCCUGCUUUGCAUUUAAAUUUACAUUCAAACAUUUAUUUAUCACUAUUUUUUAUCAGUGUAUUUUUAUGAUUUUGAAAUCUAAUUUCAAAUUCAAAAAACACAAAUAUAACCCUAUGCGGUGGAUCACUUGGCUC
RNAcentral lists this unclassified non-coding RNA (359 nucleotides) under fungal sp. RNAcentral describes it as "partial internal transcribed spacer region". The stretch from base 1 to 46 matches the Rfam family "Eukaryotic small subunit ribosomal RNA", at positions 1786 to 1831 of the family's 1831-position model. Lineage: Eukaryota; Fungi. The record is from RNAcentral.